Molecule: transfer RNA, 91 nt
Filed under: Coriobacteriales bacterium
Lineage: Bacteria; Bacillati; Actinomycetota; Coriobacteriia; Coriobacteriales
Description: tRNA-Ser
Rfam family: tRNA
About the family: Transfer RNA (tRNA) molecules are approximately 80 nucleotides in length. Their secondary structure includes four short double-helical elements and three loops (D, anti-codon, and T loops).
Source: RNAcentral
GGAGAGCUGACCGAGAGGCCGAAGGUGCUCGCCUGCUAAGCGAGUAACGGACAUAAUCCGUUCCGGGGUUCGAAUCCCCGGCUCUCCGCCA